RNAcentral lists this ribosomal RNA (465 nucleotides) under uncultured bacterium. RNAcentral describes it as "partial 16S ribosomal RNA". It matches the Rfam family "Bacterial small subunit ribosomal RNA", at positions 28 to 507 of the family's 1533-position model. The record is from RNAcentral.
GACGAACGCUGGCGGCGUGCUUAACACAUGCAAGUCGAGCGAGGCCCCUCCUUCGGGAGGGUGUCCUAGCGGCGAACGGGUGAGUAACACGUGGGCAACCUGCCCUCAGCUCUGGGAUAACUCCGGGAAACCGGGGCUAAUACCGGAUACGACCUCCACGGGCAUCUGCGGAGGUGGAAAGUUUUUCGGCUGAGGAUGGGCCCGCGGCCUAUCAGCUAGUUGGUGGGGUAGUGGCCCACCAAGGCGACGACGGGUAGCCGGCCUGAGAGGGCGACCGGCCACACUGGGACUGAGACACGGCCCAGACUCCUACGGGAGGCAGCAGUGGGGAAUAUUGCGCAAUGGGCGAAAGCCUGACGCAGCGACGCCGCGUGAGGGACGAAGGCCUUCGGGUUGUAAACCUCUUUCAGCAGGGACGAAGCGAAAGUGACGGUACCUGCAGAGGAAGCACCGGCCAACUACGUG